CGCCAAGAAGCUUCUACAGCACUAGCCUUUUAAGCUAGAGAGGGGGUAAUCGUGCCCCCUUGACGA
This 66-nucleotide transfer RNA is filed under the name Xerotyphlops vermicularis (Eurasian blind snake). RNAcentral's name for it is "tRNA-Lys". Lineage: Eukaryota; Metazoa; Chordata; Lepidosauria; Squamata; Typhlopidae. The record is from RNAcentral.